This 253-nucleotide ribosomal RNA is filed under the name uncultured bacterium. RNAcentral describes it as "partial 16S ribosomal RNA". It matches the Rfam family "Bacterial small subunit ribosomal RNA", at positions 524 to 776 of the family's 1533-position model. The record is from RNAcentral.
UACGGAGGGUGCGAGCGUUGUCCGGAAUCACUGGGCGUAAAGGGCGCGUAGGCGGCCUGAUAAGUAGGGGGUGAAAUCUUGCGGCUUAACCGCAAGGCUGCCUUCUAAACUGUCAGGCUAGAGCACAGUAGAGGCAGGUGGAAUUCCCGGUGUAGCGGUGGAAUGCGUAGAGAUCGGGAAGAACAUCAGUGGCGAAGGCGGCGACCUGGACAAGUACUGACACUCAACUACGAAAGCGUGGGGAGCAAACAGG